RNAcentral lists this ribosomal RNA (849 nucleotides) under uncultured bacterium. Its description in RNAcentral is "bacterial SSU rRNA". It matches the Rfam family "Bacterial small subunit ribosomal RNA", at positions 547 to 1397 of the family's 1533-position model. The record is from RNAcentral.
GGAUUUACUGGGCGUAAAGCGCGCGUAGGUGGUUAAUUAAGUCAAAUGUGAAAUCCCCGAGCUUAACUUGGGAAUUGCUUCGAUACUGGUUAGCUAGAGUAUAGGAGAGGAUGGUAGAAUUCCAGGUGUAGCGGUGAAAUGCGUAGAGAUCUGGAGGAAUACCGAUGGCGAAGGCAGCCAUCUGGCCUAAUACUGACACUGAGGUGCGAAAGCAUGGGGAGCAAACAGGAUUAGAUACCCUGGUAGUCCAUGCCGUAAACGAUGUCUACUAGCCGUUGGGGGAUUUGAUCCUUUAGUGGCGCAGCUAACGCGAUAAGUAGACCGCCUGGGGAGUACGGUCGCAAGACUAAAACUCAAAUGAAUUGACGGGGGCCCGCACAAGCGGUGGAGCAUGUGGUUUAAUUCGAUGCAACGCGAAGAACCUUACCUGGCCUUGACAUAGUAGAAACUUUCCAGAGAUGGAUUGGUGCCUUCGGGAAUCUACAUACAGGUGCUGCAUGGCUGUCGUCAGCUCGUGUCGUGAGAUGUUGGGUUAAGUCCCGCAACGAGCGCAACCCUUUUCCUUACUUGCCAGUAUUUCGGAUGGGAACUUUAAGGAUACUGCCAGUGACAAACUGGAGGAAGGCGGGGACGACGUCAAGUCAUCAUGGCCCUUACGGCCAGGGCUACACACGUGCUACAAUGGUCGGUACAAAGGGUUGCUACCUCGCGAGAGGAUGCUAAUCUCAAAAAGCCGAUCGUAGUCCGGAUCGCAGUCUGCAACUCGACUGCGUGAAGUCGGAAUCGCUAGUAAUCGCGGAUCAGAAUGCCGCGGUGAAUACGUUCCCGGGCCUUGUACACACCGCCCGU